GAUGAAGAACGUAGCGAAAUGCGAUAAGUAAUGUGAAUUGCAGAAUUCAGUGAAUCAUCGAAUCUUUGAACGCACAUUGCGCCCGCCAGUAUUCUGGCGGGCAUGCCUGUUCGAGCGUCAUUUCAACCAUCAAGCCCCCGGCUUGUGUUGGGGACCUGCGGCUGCCGCAGGCCCUGAAAACCAGUGGCGGGCUCGCUAGUCACUCCGAGCGUAGUAAUACAUCUCGCUCAGGGCGUGCUGUGGGUUCCGGCCGUUAAAAAGCCUUAUUUACCCAAGGUUGACCUCGGAUCAGGUAGGAAGACCCGCUGAACUUAAGCAUAUCAAUAAGCGGAGGA
This 335-nucleotide unclassified non-coding RNA is filed under the name soil metagenome. RNAcentral describes it as "partial contains 5.8S ribosomal RNA, internal transcribed spacer 2, and large subunit ribosomal RNA". The stretch from base 1 to 120 matches the Rfam family "5.8S ribosomal RNA", at positions 35 to 154 of the family's 154-position model. The record is from RNAcentral.